Molecule: long non-coding RNA, 4213 nt
Organism: Mytilus trossulus (common blue mussel)
Lineage: Eukaryota; Metazoa; Mollusca; Bivalvia; Mytilida; Mytilidae
Exons: 3
Source: RefSeq, a predicted model, not a curated record
ACAAGUACGUUAAAAAUAUCUCUCAUUGAAUUUUUUUUUUUAUAAUUUCCGGUUUUGAUAGAUGUAUGUAAAAUGAUGGAGAACGUUUUUAUCUUUUGUCUUACAAUUGCGUACGUGAAAGCAGGGUCAUGCUAUUAUCAGUAUUACUUUAGAACCAUUCCGCUGUCAGAAUACAGAUUUUGUUUGACCGGAUGUUGUGGACCAAAGGUACCAGAUGGCAGGAACUACUGUUGUCCGUCCAUUGGCGCCACAAUUGGAAUCGUGUUGGCUUUAAUCUUAUUCAUUGCAAUUGUCAUAGGACUAUGUAUGGUGUAUAGAAGGAGGAAACACGGAUAUGUGCAUUAUAGAAAUUAUAACCCAUGGACAAGGUCAACAGAAAGUGAAAGCAUUCUCCGAAAUAAUGAACACUCAAGAACUUUAUAUUCCCACACACGCCUGUAAUAUUGUGUUGACAUGUUUGUGUGGAGAUGUGCCUAGAUUGGCAGAAGAUAUACAGAUACACGCCUCAUUCACACGCCAUAGGUUUAAACAGGUUUAUGUAUCAUGUGUUAUAACAAGAUGUGUAGUGGAAGCACCAUGUGUAGUGGAAUCACCAUGUGUAGUGGAAUCACCAUGUGUAGUGGAAUCACCAUGUGUAAUGAACAAGGUUACACUAGAAGCACAAUGUGUACAGUGUAACAUAAACGCUCAAAUUUAAAUGCACGAAAUGCACACUUUGAUAAUAAACAUUAAUUGAGUGAUAAUAAAUCUUCAUAUAUUUAGUGUAAUCAUCGUGUGCUUAGUGGUAUUAUCAUGUUUCUAGGGUACUCAUCACAGUUAUAUUGUUUCCUUAAAUUACUGGAGAAUACAGGCUUUUUCCCCUGGAGAAAAAUCCCUAUUGGAAAAAGAAAUGGCUUAAAAUUAUUCCCAAAAAGGCAACUUUCUUCCAAAACAGUGCAAUCUCAGUAGUUAUUGAAAGAUGUUACCAUAAGGAACAUCUGUACUAAGUUUCAAGUUGAUUGGACUUUGAUUUUAAAAAAACUACCUUGACCAAAUACUUUAACCUGAAGCGGGACAGAUCAGUGAUAUUGUUUCCUUAAAUUACUGGAGAAUACAGGCUUUUUCCCCUGGAGAAAAAUCCAAAUUUGAAAAAGAAAUGGCUUAAAAUUAUUCCCAAAAAGGCAACUUUUUUCCAAAACAGUGCAAUCUCAGUAGUAAUACAAACUGAAAAACACUCAUUUAAACAUUUUUCAUGCCUAAAAUGACGAUGUGUGCAGAUUUGUGGGUCUCCUUAUUUAUCAUCACUGACAAUAAGGGGUCUAAUUUCAAAUAAGGGUUAACCUCUUGAAGUUCCAGUCAAAUUCAUGGUUUAUCAUAAAUUUCCCAAUUUGAAAAUAAAAAAGGGUAGAGGAAGUUUUGAAAAAAGCCAACAAUAUCACUGCAUCAUCAAUCUAGUGCAUUGUGUUCAGUAUGAUUAUCAUGUUUCUAGUGUAAUAACAUAGUGUGCAUCAUGUGAUCAUCAUGUUUCUAGUGUGAUCACAAUAUAUCUAGUGUGAUUACAGUAUGUAUCGUGUGAUCAUAAAGUUUCUAGUGUGAACACACUGUAUCUAGUGUGAUUACAGUAUGCAUGGUGUGAUUAUAAAGUUUCUAGUGUGAACACAAUAUAUCUAGUGUGAUUACAGUAUGUAUCGUGUGAUCAUAAACUUUCUAGUGUGAACACAAUAUAUCUUGUGUGAUAACAGUAUAUAUCGUGUGAUCAUUGAGGUUCUAGUGUGAACAUGAUAUAUCUAGUGUUAUAACAGUAUUUACGGUGUGAUAAUUAUGUUUCUAGUGUGAACACACUGUAUCUAGUGUGAUUACAGUAUGUAUGGUGUGAUCAUUAUGUUUCUAGUGUGAACACAGUAUAUCUAGUGUGAUUACAGUACGUAUGGUGUGAUAAUUAUGUUUCUAGUGUGAACACACUGUAUCUAGUGUGAUUACAGUAUGCAUGGUGUGAUUUUAAAGUUUCUAGUGUGAACACAAUAUAUCUAGUGUGAUUACAGUAUGUAUCGUGUGAUUAUAAAGUGUCUAGUGUGAACACAAUAUAUCUAGUGUGAUUACAGUAUGUAUCGUGUGAUCAUAAACUUUCUAGUGUGAACACAAUAUAUCUUGUGUGAUAACAGUAUAUAUCGUGUGAUCAUUGAGGUUCUAGUGUGAACAUAAUAUAUCUAGUGUUAUAACAGUAUUUACUGUGUGAUCAUCAUGUUUCUAGUGUGAACACAGUAUAUCUAGUGUGAUUACUGUAUGUACGGUGUGAUAAUUAUGUUUCUAGUGUGAACACACUGUAUCUAGUGUGAUUACAGUAUGUAUCGUGUGACCAUCAAGGUUCUAGUGUGAACACAAUAUAUCUAGUGUGAUUACAGUAUGUAUGGUGUGAUCAUCAUGUUUCACGUGUGAACACAGUAUAUCUAGUGUGAUUACAGUAUGUAUGGUGUGAUCAUUAUGUUUCUAGUGUGAACACACUGUAUCUAGUGUGAUUACAGUAUGUAUUGUGUGAUCAUCAUGUUUCUAGUGUGAACACAGUAUAUCUAGGGUCAUUACAGUACGUAUGGUGUGAUAAUUAUGUUUCUAGUGUGAACACACUGUAUCUAGUGUGAUUCCAGUAUGUAUGGUGUGAUCAUUAAGGUUCUAGUGUGAACACAAUAUAUCUAGUGUGAUUACAGUAUGUAUCGUGUGAUCAUCAUGCUACUAGUGUGACCACAGUAUAUCUAGUGUGAUUACAGUUUGUAUGGUGUGAUCAGUAUGAUUCUGGUGUGAACACAAUAUAUCUAGUGUGAUUACAGUAUGUAUCGUGUGACCAUUAAGAUUCUAGUGUGAACACAAUUUAUCUAGUGUGAUUACAGUAUUUAUGGUGUGAUCAUCAUGUUUCUAGUGUGAACACAGUAUAUCUAGUGUGAUUACAGUAUGUAUGGUGUGAUCAUUAUGUUUCUAGUGUGAACAGACUGUAUCUAAUGUGAUUACAGUAUGUAUCGACUAUUAAGGUUCUAGUGUGAACACAAUAUAUCUAGUGUGAUUACAGUAUGUAUGGUGUGAUCAUUAUGUUUCUAGUGUGAACAGACUGUAUCUAAUGUGAUUACAGUAUGUAUCGACCAUUAAGGUUCUAGUGUGAACACAAUAUAUCUAGUGUGAUUACAGUAUGUAUGGUGUGAUCAUUAUGUUUCUAGUGUGAACAGACUGUAUCUAAUGUGAUUACAGUAUGUAUCGACCAUUAAGGUUCUAGUGUGAACAAGAUAUAUCUAGUGGGAUUACAGUUUGUAUCGUUUGAUCAUCAUUUUUCUAGUGUGAACACACAUUCAAUAUAUCUAGUGUGAAUACAGUAUGUAUUGUGUGAUCGUCAUGUUUCUAGUGUGAACACAAUAUAUCUAGUGUGAACACAGUAUGUAUCGUGUGAUCAUCAUGCUUCUAGUGUGAACACUGUAUCUAUUGUGGAUUAUUUCAACAACACAAAUAACAAUAUAACUUAAACAGUUCUAAAUAUCAUUUAUUUUUAAAGUUUAACAUGUUUAACAGUUUAUUGUUUAUUUUGGUCAAUGCACAUAGAGCCUGACGAGAAGCAUAUACUUCGUAUAUCUGCAACCGAUUUCACCUGGAUAGUUGCAAACCCGAUAGAUGGGUAGUUUGUCUUAUAUAUUGCUAUUAUUAAUUUUAAUCGUAUUAUAAAUAAAUAUUUGAUAUAUACAUAUUGCAAAGUGUCUCCCCAUAACAUUAUUAGGCAUAUAUAUACAUGAUUUACGUAAGAUAAUAAUAUAGACUUUACUAAGUUCAAAAAUAUAUUCUAACUAAAUCUUUACUACAUUUAACUAAUUUAAAAAUUCGCCGUUUCAGAAUCUAAUGCAUCCUGGGUAAUAUUUUAAUAAGCGUACACCAAAGCGUCUUGAUUGGGUGAAAACGUUAUUAAAAAUUGAAAUUCAACCAAUGACAUAACGUUAUUUUCACUUUGGGGUACGAACAAUGAAAUUUCUUAUGAUGCUCUAGAUUCUGAAACGGCCAAAAUAGCAAGCAAUGGUGUCAAAUAAAUAUUUCUUCAAUUUUAUGCAGUAAUAAAAUUGAAAAUGGAAAUGGGGAAUGUGCCUAAGAGAGAACAACCCGACCAUAGAAAAAACAACAGCAGAAGGUCACCUACAGGUCUUCAAUGAAGCGAGAAAUUCCUGCACCCGGAGGCGUCCUUCAGCUGGCCCCUGAAACUUUUCUUGUU